RNAcentral lists this unclassified non-coding RNA (437 nucleotides) under fungal sp. Its description in RNAcentral is "partial internal transcribed spacer region". The stretch from base 1 to 46 matches the Rfam family "Eukaryotic small subunit ribosomal RNA", at positions 1786 to 1831 of the family's 1831-position model. The record is from RNAcentral. Lineage: Eukaryota; Fungi.
AAGUCGUAACAAGGUUUCCGUAGGUGAACCUGCGGAAGGAUCAUUAACAAUUUCAAAACAUCAACCUUUGUGAAUCGACCUUUGGUUAGGGUAGGCGAAAGUCUUAAAAGUCCCACAAAGGUGUGCUGUGUUGCAUCCUUUUUUUAAUUUGUUUACGGUGGUGGUGGUGGUGGUUGGUUUGUUGUAGUGUAGUGUAGUGUGGAAAGGGGGAAAAGGAGUGAGAUUUUUAUUGUAAAAAAUAAAUGUCUUUUUCAUUUUCUUCACAUACACAUACACAUAUACAUAUACAUAUACAUACUUAUUAUUCAUUCAUUACCUACUUUGCUUAUAUGAAAAAGGAUUGCGCACAACAAAUUAUAUAGACUAUUUCUAUUGACUAAAGUAAAGUAAAAAAUUCUAAAUGAAUACAACUUUUAACAGUGGAUCUCUUGGCUCUU